UGUGUAGGCGGUUGCUUAAGUUUGGUGUGAAAUCUCCCGGCUCAACUGGGAGGGUGCGCCGAAUACUGAGUGACUCGAGUGCGGGAGAGGAGAGUGGAAUUCCUGGUGUAGCGGUGAAAUGCGUAGAUAUCAGGAGGAACACCGGUGGUGUAGACGGCUCUCUGGACCGUAACUGACGCUGAGACACGAAAGCGUGGGUAGCAAACAGGAUUAGAUACCCUGGUAGUCCACGCCCUAAACGAUGCAUAUUUGGUGUGGGCAGUUCAGUCUGUCCGUGCCGGAGCUAACGCGUUAAAUAUCGCCGCCUGGGGAGUACAGUCGCAAGGCUAGAA
RNAcentral lists this ribosomal RNA (332 nucleotides) under uncultured bacterium. RNAcentral's name for it is "bacterial SSU rRNA". It matches the Rfam family "Bacterial small subunit ribosomal RNA", at positions 568 to 899 of the family's 1533-position model. The record is from RNAcentral.